RNAcentral lists this ribosomal RNA (298 nucleotides) under uncultured bacterium. Its description in RNAcentral is "partial 16S ribosomal RNA". It matches the Rfam family "Bacterial small subunit ribosomal RNA", at positions 335 to 626 of the family's 1533-position model. The record is from RNAcentral.
UAUCCUACGGGGGGCAGCAGUAGGGAAUUUUCGUCAAUGGGCGCAAGCCUGAACGGGCAAUGCCGCGUGAACGAGGAAGGUCUUCGGAUCGUAAAGUUCUGUUGAAGGGGAAAAAGAGCGGAGAGAGGAAAUGAACUCCGAUUGAUAUUACCCUUCGAGGAAGUCACGGCUAACUACGUGCCAGUAGCCGCGGUAAUACGUAGGUGGCGAGCGUUAUCCGGAAUGAUUGGGCGUAAAGGGUGCGUAGGCGGCCUGCUAAGUCUGGAGUGAAAGGACCCGGCUCAACCGUUACGGGCUC